AUACGUAGGGGGCGAGCGUUGUCCGGAAUGAUUGGGCGUAAAGGGCGCGUAGGCGGCCCGGUAAGUCUGGAGUGAAAGUCCUGUUUUUAAGAUGGGAAUUGCUUUGGAUACUGUCGGGCUUGAGUGCAGGAGAGGUAAGUGGAAUUCCCAGUGUAGCGGUGAAAUGCGUAGAGAUCGGGAGGAACACCAGUGGCGAAGGCGGGUAACUGGACUGCAACUGACGCUGAGGCGCGAAAGUGUGGGGAGCAAACAGGAUUAGAUACCCUGGUAGUCCACACUGUAAACGAUGAAUGCUAGGUGUAAGAGGUAUCGACCCCUUUUGUGCCGGAGUCAACACAAUAAGCAUUCCGCCUGGGGAGUACGGCCGCAAGGUUGAAACUCAAAGGAAUUGACGGGG
This 397-nucleotide ribosomal RNA is filed under the name uncultured bacterium. RNAcentral describes it as "partial 16S ribosomal RNA". It matches the Rfam family "Bacterial small subunit ribosomal RNA", at positions 523 to 918 of the family's 1533-position model. The record is from RNAcentral.